Molecule: long non-coding RNA, 516 nt
Filed under: Nicotiana benthamiana
Lineage: Eukaryota; Viridiplantae; Streptophyta; Magnoliopsida; Solanales; Solanaceae
Description: long non-coding RNA (NBEN_LNC013749)
Source: RNAcentral
UUAUCAGAAUAGAGAGGCUUACCAAUAGUACUCGCUAAUUUACUGAGUAUUUCAGGGGACCAGUAGCCCAAUGGCAAUCCAGGGAAUCCCACCCAAAUAGGAAUAGUACUAAGAAUACCAUUUUGCAUGGAGAAAUCCACAUCCUAGGGUUUCAAAAUCAUAGGCUUAUUCCUAUAAGAGUAAGGGCCAUAUUAUAGCACUUGAUUCUUGUCCUCAACAGUACAAAAUCGAAACACACAAUAACCAUCUCUAUGCAUUAGAAUCUGUGGUUUAGCCACAAAUUCCAUACAUGCAAAACAAAGUUCUUCAUGGCUUUCUCAUUAGGGUUGUCACCAAUGAUAUAUCCAAUAAGUGAAGUAUUCCAGUACUCAGACUGAGGUUUCAGCUCAUCGAUAUUGAUUUUAACUAUCUUCUUUCCAUCCUUAUCAAUAGGUGGAACAAAUGUUAAAACCUUACCCAUAUUGUGCUUACCUCUGACAAUCUCAGCCAUAGUAGGAGGUGACUGUUCAUCUAUGG